UGAGUAACGCGUGGGAAUCUACCUUGAGCUACGGGAUAACAGAGAGAAAUUUCUGCUAAUACCGUAUGUGGCCUUUGGGCGAAAGAUUUAUCGGCUUAAGAUGAGCCCGCGUUGGAUUAGCUGGUUGGUGGGGUAAAGGCCUACCAAGGCGACGAUCCAUAGCUGGUCUGAGAGGAUGAUCAGCCACACUGGGACUGAGACACGGCCCAGACUCCUACGGGAGGCAGCAGUGGGGAAUAUUGGACAAUGGGCGCAAGCCUGAUCCAGCCAUGCCGCGUGAGUGAAGAAGGCCUUAGGGUUGUAAAGCUCUUUCACCGGUGAAGAUAAUGACGGUAGCCGGAGAAGAAGCCCCGGCUAACUUCGUGCCAGCAGCCGCGGUAAUACGAAGGGGGCUAGCGUUGUUCGGAUUUACUGGGCGUAAAGCGCGCGUAGGCGGAUAGAUAAGUCAGANGUGAAAUCCCGGGGCUCAACCCCGGAAUUGCCUUUGAUACUGUUUAUCUUGAGUGCAGAAGAGGUAAGUGGAAUUCCNAGUGUAGAGGUGAAAUUCGUAGAUAUUCNGA
This 560-nucleotide ribosomal RNA is filed under the name uncultured Hyphomicrobiales bacterium. Its description in RNAcentral is "bacterial SSU rRNA". It matches the Rfam family "Bacterial small subunit ribosomal RNA", at positions 107 to 702 of the family's 1533-position model. The record is from RNAcentral. Lineage: Bacteria; Pseudomonadati; Pseudomonadota; Alphaproteobacteria; Hyphomicrobiales.